UACGUAGGUGGCAAGCGUUGUCCGGAUUUAUUGGGCGUAAAGCGAGCGCAGGCGGUUCCUUAAGUCUGAUGUGAAAGCCCACGGCUCAACCGUGGAAGGUCAUUGGAAACUGGGGAACUUGAGUGCAGAAGAGGAGAGUGGAAUUCCAUGUGUAGCGGUGAAAUGCGUAGAUAUAUGGAGGAACACCAGUGGCGAAGGCGACUCUCUGGUCUGUAACUGACGCUGAGGCUCGAAAGCGUGGGGAGCAAACAGGAUUAGAUACCCCCGUAGUCC
Molecule: ribosomal RNA, 273 nt
Filed under: uncultured bacterium
Lineage: Bacteria
Description: partial 16S ribosomal RNA
Rfam family: Bacterial small subunit ribosomal RNA
Source: RNAcentral